This 79-nucleotide long non-coding RNA is filed under the name Anser brachyrhynchus (Pink-footed goose). RNAcentral's name for it is "lncRNA (ENSABRG00000001078.1)". The record is from RNAcentral. Lineage: Eukaryota; Metazoa; Chordata; Aves; Anseriformes; Anatidae.
CCCUCGGCAGGGCAGGGGAGGCCGUCGCGCUGCAGAGCUCCAGUCCCGACAGCUCCUGCCCGGGUCUGUCUGCGCCACC